GUCCACGCCGUAAACGAUGAGAACUAGGUGUUGCGGGUAUUGACCCCUGCAGUGCCGUAGCUAACGCAUUAAGUUCUCCGCCUGGGAAGUACGGUCGCAAGACUAAAACUCAAAGGAAUUGACGGGGCCCGGCACAAGCGGUGGAGCAUGUGGUUUAAUUCGACGCAACGCGCAGAACCUUACCUGGGCUUGACAUCUACGGAACCUUCGUGAAGCGAGGGUGCCUUCGGGUAGCGUAAGACAGGUGCUGCAUGGCUGUCGU
RNAcentral lists this ribosomal RNA (262 nucleotides) under uncultured bacterium. RNAcentral's name for it is "partial 16S ribosomal RNA". It matches the Rfam family "Bacterial small subunit ribosomal RNA", at positions 793 to 1055 of the family's 1533-position model. The record is from RNAcentral.